Molecule: non-coding RNA, 958 nt
Organism: Ictidomys tridecemlineatus (thirteen-lined ground squirrel)
Lineage: Eukaryota; Metazoa; Chordata; Mammalia; Rodentia; Sciuridae
Source: RefSeq, a predicted model, not a curated record
CUGGGAUUACAGGUGUGUGCCACUGUGCCGGCUGAAAUGCACUUUUUUUUUUUCUUUUACUAUUCUUCCAUAAAUACUUUAAAGAGUCAUUGGACCCCCCAGUCCACUCAUAGGCAGCUGACACAUUGUUUACUUCUGGAAAUGGUUGCUGCCCCCACAGACUUUGGGAAAUCAGCAACCCAGAUCUUUAGCGAAUAAAUGUUGAAACUAGAAUUAUCUCUGAUAUUCAAAGAUGAUAUGGAAGUCAGUCAUGCUGUUUCCAAGGUGACAGGCUAGUCUCCUCAGUUUACCCAGCAACCAACAGGCUGACAGGAAAUAAGAAAGGCAGGUCUGCUGGGUCACUGGUUCCAUGUGCCCCACACUCUUUGAGGAAAUAACCCCCAAACAGAUCAGUGUCUCCAGAGUGAGAAGCAUCUCUAUUUUUUUCAUUGCAAGAAUUUGCUAUGGUUUGAAUGUUCCCCAAGGUUUCAUGUGUAGAAGUUUAAUGUCCAUUUUGAGAUAUUAAGAGGGUGGAAAUUUAAUCUGAUUAUGAUAUUUAGAAAGGGGCUUUUGGGAAGGUGUUAGAUUUAGGUAAGGUUACUGGGGGAAUUCUGGUGGUUUUAAAAGAAGAGAGAGAGGGACAGAGCCAGAAGAACUCACCCUGUCUCUUGCCAUGUGAUGCCAUGUGCCUCCUUGGGAGUCUGCUAACAAGAAGAUCAUCUGCCAUGGUUACAACUAAAGGGGCGGGGGAUGUCUUGCCAGAGUCUGCAGCAUGGUGUUUGAAGUUCAGCCUCCAAAGCUAAACUUCAGUUGUCUCCAUAUCUUGGUUACUGUGAAUAAUGAAUGCUGGAAUGAGCAUGGCAUUGAAGGAAUCUUUAUAAGUGAGUUUCCGAAAUUCAUUGCCCAGACUGAGGUUAAGAAGCUUUCCCUAGAAAAGUGGGGGUGAGUCUCCUAAAAAUCAAAGGGAGAUCAGUAGAAG